This 73-nucleotide transfer RNA is filed under the name Pteropus alecto (black flying fox). It matches the Rfam family "tRNA". From Rfam's summary of the family: Transfer RNA (tRNA) molecules are approximately 80 nucleotides in length. Their secondary structure includes four short double-helical elements and three loops (D, anti-codon, and T loops). Further hydrogen bonds mediate the characteristic L-shaped molecular structure. tRNAs have two regions of fundamental functional importance: the anti-codon, which is responsible for specific mRNA codon recognition, and the 3' end, to which the tRNAs corresponding amino acid is attached (by aminoacyl-tRNA synthetases). tRNAs cope with the degeneracy of the genetic code in two manners: having more than one tRNA (with a specific anti-codon) for a particular amino acid; and 'wobble' base-pairing, i.e. permitting non-standard base-pairing at the 3rd anti-codon position. Lineage: Eukaryota; Metazoa; Chordata; Mammalia; Chiroptera; Pteropodidae. The record is from Rfam by way of RNAcentral.
GGUUCCAUAGGGUAGUGGUUAGCAUGUCUGCUUUACACACAGAAGGUCCUGGGUUCGUGCUCCAGUGGAGCCA